RNAcentral lists this long non-coding RNA (1255 nucleotides) under Sorghum bicolor (sorghum). RNAcentral describes it as "long non-coding RNA (SBIC_LNC017955)". The record is from RNAcentral. Lineage: Eukaryota; Viridiplantae; Streptophyta; Magnoliopsida; Poales; Poaceae.
GGACGCCCCGUCAUCCCGAUCUCCAUCGGCAUGGUGAACUUCCCAGAACCACUCUGCGACUUUGGCUCUAGUGUCAACAUUAUGCCCAGGGUAAUCUAUGAAAAAAUCUUUACAUAUCCUUUAUUAGAAACAACCAUGUGUUUGCAGUUUGCAGAUCAGACGUUAAGUUUCCCAAAGGGAAUAUUGAAGAACCUCUGUGUUCAAGUUGGUACCUUGUACGCCCCAGCAAACAUUUAUUGCAUAGUCAAACCAUGGAUCCAGAGAAAUAAGUCAAUAAGUCAAAUCAAGAUGUGCAUGUGUGGCGAAUGAAUGGUGUAUGGUGAUGAUGGUGAUAACAAUGGUGAAUGUCUAAUUCUACUUUUGCUCUUUUGAGGGGAUACAUACCUUUCUUGCUCUUUUGAAACUUUGAGGAGAAUGAGAUGCUCUAUAUUUUUAUUUUUCCUCUCAAGUGGGUAUUUUGUACCUCUAAUUCUACUAUCGGACACUUGUCCAUUUUUACCUCUCGUCUCACUCUUUUUUUUCUUUUGAGGUUCCGGGCACUUGCCCCUUUUUAUUUCCUCGUAUCUUUUUUUAGAGCACCCAUCUCUUGAAAUAAUAUAGCAAGUGGUAGUAACCAAGAUAACUUGAGCAUUUAUUUCACAGGGGAAAAACAGAAAUGUUUUUGGCUAUUCUCUCCCGGAUUAGGAGUAGAAUAUUUUUGAGUAGUUCUCAAGAUGGAAAUGGGUGGAUAUAUGUGGAUGCGUACUUCCAGAGUAGAAGCAGCAUGUGUGAGUGAACGUGCAAGUGAAUCUUGAUUUAACCACAUGACAAGCUCCAAAGGGUCUACACAGCUUGACCACACUCAAUGCUCAUAAGCAGUAAAAAGUAAAUGUGUGGCUCAAAAUCUAGCAAGCAUGUAUAUAUGACUGUGGUAGAAAUUUAAAGUCUCAUCAUACAGGAACUCAUCAUGCAAUAUUUUAAAGAUUUUCAAAGACAAAAUUCUCCAGAAUUUUAGCAUCUCUAGGAACAGAUAAACAGCAGCUCAACCUUCUCAUAUCAUAUCUGUUAACAACUUAGACUUCAGAUCAAGUUUUCUUCCUACAAGUUCAGGUUUAGAGCAAGCUUUAAAUUAUAACAGUUAUGUCUAAACUUGAGAGAGAACUUCAAAUUUUAAAAUUAGGCAGAGCAACUAUUCAUCAUAUCCAUGCUAGAGUUUUAUUAUUAAGAUUCAGUUUAGCAUAGACACUUUAUUUAUUUAUUAAGCACACUAAUCAAA